GCGGCGGAGGUGCGGGGCCUGCUCCCGCCGGCACCAUGGCCAAGACCGUGGCCUAUUUCUACGACCCCGACGUGGGCAACUUCCACUACGGAGCUGGACACCCUAUGAAGCCCCAUCGCCUGGCAUUGACCCAUAGCCUGGUCCUGCAUUACGGUCUCUAUAAGAAGAUGAUCGUCUUCAAGCCAUACCAGGCCUCCCAGCAUGACAUGUGCCGCUUCCACUCCGAGGACUACAUUGACUUCCUGCAGAGAGUCAGCCCCACCAAUAUGCAAGGCUUCACCAAGAGUCUUAAUGCCUUCAACGUAGGCGAUGACUGCCCAGUGUUUCCCGGGCUCUUUGAGUUCUGCUCGCGUUACACAGGCGCAUCUCUGCAAGGAGCAACCCAGCUGAACAACAAGGUGACAUAGUCCCGAGUCCUGUUCUUCCUUUCCUCUGGAUCCCUGGACUCGGGAUUUAACCCUGAUCCUGGGCUCCCAGCUUGAGGGGUGGGCAGGAAGGACUGUGACUUAGGUGUUUGUCUUUCAGAUCUGUGAUAUUGCCAUUAACUGGGCUGGUGGUCUGCACCAUGCCAAGAAGUUUGAGGUACCACCCUCGGGUGCUCUACAUUGACAUUGACAUCCACCAUGGUGAUGGGGUUCAAGAAGCUUUCUACCUCACUGACCGGGUCAUGACGGUGUCCUUCCACAAAUAUGGAAAUUACUUCUUCCCUGGCACAGGUGACAUGUAUGAAGUCGGGGCAGAGAGUGGCCGCUACUACUGUCUGAACGUGCCCCUGCGGGAUGGCAUUGAUGACCAGA
Molecule: small RNA, 797 nt
Filed under: Pan troglodytes (chimpanzee)
Lineage: Eukaryota; Metazoa; Chordata; Mammalia; Primates; Hominidae
Description: retained intron
Source: RNAcentral